RNAcentral lists this transfer RNA (66 nucleotides) under Dinophilus gyrociliatus. Its description in RNAcentral is "tRNA-Met". The record is from RNAcentral. Lineage: Eukaryota; Metazoa; Annelida; Polychaeta; Dinophilidae.
AAUAAGAUAAGCUAAAUAUAAGCUAGUGGGCUCAUACCCCGAAAAUGAACAUAGUUUCUCUUAUUA